GAAAUGCGAUAAGUAAUGUGAAUUGCAGAAUUCAGUGAAACAUCGAAUCUUUGAACGCACCUUGCGCUCCUUGGUAUUCCUUGGAGCAUGCCUGUUUGAGUAUCAUGAAAUCUUCAAAGUAAAUCUUUUGUUAACUCAAUUGGUUUCUACUUUGGUAUUGGAGGUCUUUGCAGCUUCACACCUGCUCCUCUUUGUUCAUUAGCUGGAUCUCAGUGUUAUGCUUGGAUCCACUCGGCGUGAUAAGUUAUCUAUCGCUGAGGACACUGUAAAAGGUGGCCAAGGUAAAUGCAGAUGAACCGCUUCUAAUAGUCCAUUGACUUGGACAAUACUUUUAUGAUCUGAUCUCAAAUCAGGUAGGACUACCCGCUGAACUUAAGC
RNAcentral lists this unclassified non-coding RNA (378 nucleotides) under plant metagenome. RNAcentral describes it as "partial contains 5.8S ribosomal RNA, internal transcribed spacer 2, and large subunit ribosomal RNA". The stretch from base 1 to 105 matches the Rfam family "5.8S ribosomal RNA", at positions 50 to 154 of the family's 154-position model. The record is from RNAcentral.